Molecule: long non-coding RNA, 6961 nt
Filed under: Homo sapiens (human)
Lineage: Eukaryota; Metazoa; Chordata; Mammalia; Primates; Hominidae
Description: non-protein coding lnc-FAM20C-3:15
Source: RNAcentral
ACAGAAGCCUCAUGCAUCUUGACCAGGACGGUGGAUGCAUGGCUUACAUUGGUCACAACUUGUCAACUUGUAUGACUGAAAACUGAACAUCACAUUGAAUUGGACUCAAAGGCAAGACCUGAGGCAAAAUUCAUGUAAGGAGGGAGUUUGGGCGAAGCUUGAGGACUGCUGCCCGGAAGCGUAGAUUCAAGUUGCCCUGAAUACACCUCCUAUUAGCAGCUGUUACAGGUUCAGAAAAAGGAUGGAGGUAGAAAGUCCUCUCUCCCAAACACUAUGAUUGACACUGCAGAGUUCUGCAACUCUCGUACGAGGGAGAUUUCAUGAUGAUCUCAGUAACCGAUCAGAGAAUCAACGACUGACUUCGCUGAGGCACGGUGAUGAAAAGGUCAAGGUGGUCUGGUCUGAGUGAAGUCACAGCAAGAACCCUUGUCCAGGGCCAUUCUCACCUUUGGGGACAGCUCCUUCCCUGUAUGGUCCUCAUGUCACUGCACUUUCCUGCCUUGUUUCUUGCUGAAGCCAUUAUUUCUUAAUUCCUUAGUAGAUAUGCAGAGCGGACAUCCCAAAGAAGCUAGAAAAAUUGAUGAGCAGGGAACAGAUCAAAUCCUCUCCAUCAGUGGAAGGCAAUUCACGAGGGAAGAAGGCAAGACCAUGGGGUAAUUUUUCUGAGACUUGACAAUGUUUGCCAAGUAAAUAAAUCUGCCAUUUAACACUACGAUAAAAGCUGUCAUAGCCAGGGUAUUAGUGACUACUUGAGGUUUGAGGACAAUGAAGACAGAGUAAGAUAAACAUCCUUACUAUCCAGAAAAAAAAAACGGAACCAGAAGACAGCGCUUCUUACUAUCCACAAAAGAAAUGGAACCGCAAGACAGCCCUUCUUAUUUUUCUCCAUCUUCGAUGGUGAGGAAGAAUAAAAAAAAAGUUGCUUUUAAAGUAUAUUCAUUAAAAUCAAAUUCUAUUAUCAUACACACAAAAUAUUUACGUGAAACCAGCCACAAAAGAAUGACAAGGAACGCUACUGAUUUGUCCAUUCUGGGGGAUAAGAACACAGAUUCUUAUCUCACUCUUGUUAAAAGAAAACUUCAGCUGAAUUAAAUUUAAAGGAGUUUAAUUGAGCAAUGAAUGAUUUGCACAUCGGGCAGCCCCCAGAAUUACAGCAGAUUCAGAGAGACUCCAGUGCAGCCACGUGGUGGAAGAUUUAUAGACAAAAAAAGGGAAGUGAGGUAGAGAAACACCUGGAUUAGUUACAGGUUGGCAUUUGCCUUAUUUACACACAGUUUGAACAUUCAGCAGUGUAUGAGUGAUUGAAGUACGGCUGCUGGGACUGGCCGAGACUCAGCAAUUGUGACAGGUACAUACUCCUAAUUUAGGUUUUCAAUCUUGUCUACCUAUUAAGUUAGGCUCAGUUUGUUCACAGGGACUCCAAUACAGAAGUACGGAGUCCUUCUCAGGCCAUAUUUAGUUCGCUUUAACAAUUCCCCCUUUUUGGUCAUUUUAUCAGUUUUGAGAGAUUGAUCGAAACUUGAGUUAUUGAUGUCACUGUCACCAUUGGUCUUGAAACCCACUAGGAAGCAGAACAGUGAGUUUUGCAAAGGUAGGAACAAGGACUGAGUUGAGGAUACCACCUUAUGCUGGAAAGUCCUGUUUGCAAGAGAAAAACAAAACCUGGUCUAUUCUAGGACCCAUGUGUUUCCUUAAAGUCUUAAUUCGAUUAUGUCACAUUUAGCACGAAUGAUGCCAUUUUGGUUCGGUUUGGUCUGUUGGGACCUAGUGCUCAGUCCAAAACAAUGGCCUCCCAUCAUUUUGUUUAAAAAAUUCCCCCUUUGUCAGGUUGUCACUUAGGCAAGAGUGUGACCAAAACUUAGGAUGUUAGCGCCACUCUCCGUUACUAUCAUUUUGGAUUUCCAGUCUCAGCAUGUCACUCAUCGGUUUCGGUGUCCUCGUGGUCACACAUUUCUUUCAGCUCUUGUCAUUCCAGUUGAAGAGAGACCAUCUGACGUUCUAAAGAUGGCUUCAUGCAAACAUUUAAAACCUUUGAGAGAAUACAGUGCACCAGGGAGACUAUUCUUAUGACUACUGAGAGGGUUAACACCAAGAAUUUGGAGUAUGCUCCUUAGCCAGGGUCCCCAUAAACCAGACCACCUAAACUCAAAUAGACCAUUCUUUGACUUAACUCAGUGGUCUUUUCGUUAAUUCCCUACAACAGACUCUCUAUAACACCUGAUGUUUUCUCCAUAGGCCUUAAGUGCCAGCAUCUGCACAGGUACUUUCCUGUUUAGCCAAUUCUAUUUUUUAGCAAAUGAUGCCCUUCUAGAAGAGGGAAGGCCUCUUGGCAAUGGUCUCUUUAACCCAUGCUGUGGGUUAAGAGGAGUGAACCAAUGUUCUGCUUCUGAAUGAUUAUGAGGCACCAUAUGUACCAUUGAAGUUUCUCACCUAUGAUACACUGGGCCUUCAUCUUUAUCUAUCAAGUUAUAAGAUUAUCCAUGUAUAAAGCUGGCUGCAAAGCCCUUCACAAAUAAAAGUAUACCCCAUAAGUGCACAAAACAGACCCCCUUCUCACUUCUGUUGUUCACAGAGGCGGAAGCAACGGAAAAACAUUCAAAGAUAAGAGUCUCAUGAUAGUAAGAAGUCUUGAUCCAUGAUCUUCAGAAAGAGCUGCUCACAUCAAGGAUGCCAUCUUCUUCUGGGGAGAAACUUCCCUGAUUAGCUUUACCUUAAGGGUUUCAAUGGAUGUAGAGUUCCAAGAGUGACCCUGCUCAGUUGUGAGAUUAUGACCCCAAGGUUCAAGAUCCUGAUGUUUUGUUGCAGUGAUGAUGCCAAGGGCAGCGUUUCUCUGAUGUUCUCAGAAGAUCCCAUCUUUGGGUUCUAGAUUGUGAAGGGGUUGAUUGUCCUCAGUGAACCAUAAAAAGCUCUUUACCUGGUGAAAAUACACUGAUACAUAGUAAUCUACUGUUAUAACAUUAGCCCUCCUGCAUGGGAAAGCUUUAGUACAACCAGAACACAUACAUUGAAAAUGACAACUGAAUGAAACCCCUUUAUAAAUGUUUAAAUGCCUCAUCAGGUAGCCAAAUGUACAUGAAGCUUUGAUUGACUUCCCAGGAGUAUGGGUUUGACAAACUAAACAUUGUUUAUAAACUAUUUUAACAAUCUGUAAGUCACCACACCAACAUAUUUAAUUUGGAUCAUUUUAUCUUUUCCAGGAUGAGUCAUGGAAUGCAUAACUUUUAAUAACAAAAGCUUUAAGGACUCACGAAGGACAAGGCAGCCAUCUUGGUUCUCCAUGAGUCCAUGCUUAACAUCGGACUUAUGUCCUCUUGGGUGCCAGUUGUUUCUCCAAAUUGGGCACAUAGCAUGGAUAACUGAUGGGUUAUCACAGGGGAUGGAAAAAUCUCAACAAAAAAGGAGCGCAGAAGAGCCUGGCUAGGCGGGAGAACACGGUCAGGCCCGCAGGAGACGCCGCGGCACCUGCCAGAAAGAGAGCCGCAGGCCAAGACCAGGAGACGCGAGAGAGGUGGGCAGGGCUGCCCGAGAGACCCAGGCGGCCAUUGCCCGCCCUGCGUCUGCGCCUGCGCCGGAGCCUCCUCCACACUGCGCCAGCGCCGAGUCCGGCCGCCUCCUCAUUGCGCCGGCGCCGGGGCUUCCUCCACACCGCGCCUGCGCCGAUGACAACCCGCCUCUACAGGACGCCUGCGCAACGCCAUAGUCACCUCAUCAGCUCCGUGCACUUACGAGUCUCUCUCUGAUCGACCACGUGUUCCUGUCGGCUCACAGAGGCCGCCUCAGGGUCCUCCCCCAUUGUCUUCCUCGCACCCUCCACUGUUCCCGGCCCUUCACUCUGCGCUUGCGCAGGAGUCGCUCGCUCCUCUCUGCGCCUGCGCAGAGGCCACCUCCUCCCCGCCCGUCCGCUCCCUUGGCGUCGUCUUGGGCCGCGCCCCGACCCCUUCUGUUUACGCAUGCGCAGGAGCCGCCCUGCGCGGGUGGGGGGCUGAGCCCCUGUGGCUUCAGGUUUAAAGGCGCGAGCGCCACCCACGCAGGCACAAGGGCUCCUAGUCGUUUUAUUUUUAGCGUAAGGUUUUCCUCUUUAACAAGGAAGUAAAAAAAAAAGUUGUGCAAUAAAUAUUAAUCGUCCUUAUAUGUACUCGGGAACGUUCGUCCUUUAGGUUUUCUCCUGGCGCAUGGGCGCCGCCAAUCAUUUCGGGGCUUAUUUUGGUUCUAAAGCCCGGGGCAGCCAGGCCUCCCUGCCUGGCCUCGGCGGGGACGCGGGACCUGGGGCCCCGGACCGGGCCUAACCGCCCUGGCCGGUCCCCACUGAUGGUGGCGGUCGGUCCUGAUCGUCCUGAUGGCAGCGACCAGGCUGGACUCGGGCUGUGCAGGGGCGAGGGGAGCAGGGCGGGGUGACGCCCGGAGAGCGGCCUGGAGAGCGCGUGCUUCAGAAGGCGUGGGCACCCUGUCCCCUUUGCAGAUGGGGAUGCAGGCCCUGGUGGCGGUGGAGGGGAGAUGGGGGCAGGGACGUUGCCGGGCAGAGGAAGCUGGAAGUUUGGCUGCUGUAACUGACUGGGAAGCUUAAAAUAACAGACAAUCAUCUCUCACAUUUAUGGGGACUGGGAAGUCCAAGACCAAGUUGCCAUCUGGGGAGGGCCUGUUCCUCACAGCGCCUUCCAGCUCAGGCCUCGUUUAUAAGGGCACUCAAGCCUUCCACGACAACGGGUCCUCAUGACUUACUCACCUCGGAAAGCCCCACCCCCAAGACCAUCACAUUGUGGGUGAUGGCAGAGCAUAAGGUGCCUUCCCCACAUGCUCGGGUUGGCCCAGCGUCUCACGCUAGCAGCUACGUGGAAUAGUUAUUUUUUCUGGAGAACUCUGGGACCCCUCUGAUGUCUUGGAGCACCCACACAGGCCGUUCACUGUGCACGCUGUGAGGCUGUCGUCUUGGAGCACCCACACAGGCCGUUCACUGUGCACGUGGUGAGGCUGUCCUCUGGGGAGUUCUGCUGUUGUAUGGGUUCUGUCUGUGUCAAUGUCCCAGCGGGAACGCAGGGCACACUAGCGUCAUCCCCAGAGGGCUUGGUAAGGGGACUGUUUGCAGAGACAUAGGCAGAGGGCUGGAAAACUACCAAAAAAGUGCAGUGUUCUGGACCUAAUAAUAGCAGAGCUAUUCUCACCCUGGUCUGAAGGCAGGAGGGGAGGAGCAGUUAAUGGAUUCUGGAAGUCAGGUUGCACAGAGUCACCUUGAAAGAUGCCAUGACCUUCACCGAGGGCCAGACAGAGACUAAGAUGACCCCAUAGGAGAAUAAGACCUAGACCUCAUCCUCCUGCCUCCUGCCAGUCCCUGCCAGGGGUCGCCAAUGGCAAAACAGGACUGGAAGCCAGAGGCCAUGGAAGCCCAUGGAUGAAGUCCACAGGCCAGCCUCCCCGAGAGCAGCCUGGACGGUCCGCAGGAGACGUCUCCUGUCUUAGGCGUCCCACGCCGCGUGCUCCUGUUCAGCCCUGCCGAGGUGGAAGCUUGGAGUGGCUCACGGUGGAUGCAUUGACGCUGCAGACGCCAGCAAGUGCUACAAACCAGAGCUGGCCUUUAACUCAGACUGAUGGAGAAGGUGUUAAUAAUGCAGAUUAGACUUAAAAGUGUUGAAGCCAUUGCACUGUGAACAGCAAAAAAAUUGAAGAACUCUUCUGGCAUUUAAAAACAAUUACUCAGUUCAGCAGAGAAGUCACUGACAAACGAGAUCACACUGACUGCUUUGUCGUUUUGGUUUUGUCUUACUCAUUAAUGCAAAUAAGAACAUUCACUAGCAUCUGUGUCGGGCCUACCCUCCCUGGUCAAAUACAGCUACAGUCUCCCUGCAGAAACGAGUUUUCCAGAAAUGAGCCGAUGUUUUCUGCGAGAAUCAAUUGGUCAUAUACAAUUUACAAAAAUGAGUACUGUAUACUAUAUUUGUAAACUGUACACUGCAGAUGCUUUAUUUCACUGAAAUUUAUAAUACACUUAUCCAUGUAUAUGCAUGCAUGCAUUUUUGUUCCUGAGAUCCAGCUGUGAAAUGUUUACCAGCACAUAAAUUACCAGCACAUGCUCUUUUUUGUUAACCUACUAGGUAAAAUCUUCAUUUAUUACAUCAAAUUCUUGUAGUUUUUGUAUUGCAAUUAUGCAGAUAUUGAUUAUCGCAGUAUUACUGCAAUUAUACAGAUACCACAAUUUCAGAUAUUGAUCAGCGUGUUCAGUUGGUUUCUAAGGAGGUUUACUUACCUCAUGGUACACCUAGUUUGCAUAGUUUGAUUAUAUUUAACUCUUAUGCUAAUUGGGGGAAGUCAUUGAUUUAUUGGACAGAUGCACCUGUGGUCUUCCCUGAGCACAUCCUGGCCAAGGAUGCUGCCCCCAGGAGAUUUGAGAAGUCCUGUAAGGAUCAUAUCAGUAUUUUCAAAUACUUAUAGAAAAGCCAGAGGGAUUGACCCAGAAUUACCAAUAUAAGCUUGACCCUGAGAUAACAAUGCCAUUUUAUGUUUGCAUGCAUAAAACCAAUGCAAGAGGCUGAUGACUCCAGAUCCCUUAUAUAAGCCAAUAAAAAGUAGUUUCAUUUUUUAUUUCAUUUAAAAAAGUGUACCAUUAACCUAAAGCCUGCUUGUAAAACCAGUUUGUUUCUGAAGCAUUAGCUCAAAGCUCACUUGCAUUUGGUGAGAAGUCCCUCACGUGUGGCUGCCCUGGCUGGGAGCUCUGAGCUCUGGGAGCCAUUGGAACUGCUAAUCCCACCAGUGCCGUCUGAUUCCCUCUGCUCUAAUGGAGGUCUUUUGCCGGGUAUCCAGUGGCAUUUUCUGGGCUUGGGAGUCAGUAAUUCCCAGUGAUCAAGUGUCUCUGCUCUGAAAAUGCCUUUCUUUGUGAUAUGAAGCUGUCAGUGAUGGAGACUGACCUUUUCAUAAGUCAGUGAAUUUAGUUUCUUUCUCCUCAGCAGUGUCUGGGGGCUGGUCCUCAGCC